Molecule: ribosomal RNA, 820 nt
Filed under: Torula sp.
Lineage: Eukaryota; Fungi; Ascomycota; Dothideomycetes; Pleosporales; Torulaceae
Description: partial large subunit ribosomal RNA
Rfam family: Eukaryotic large subunit ribosomal RNA
Source: RNAcentral
CAGUAACGGCGAGUGAAGCGGCAACAGCUCAAAUUUGAAAUCUGGCCCCCUCGGGGCCCGAGUUGUAAUUUGCAGAGGGAGCUUUUGGCGUCGGUCGUGGUCUAAGUUCCUUGGAACAGGACGUCACAGAGGGUGAGAAUCCCGUACGUGGCCGCCGGCCUUCGCCUUGUAAAGCCCCUUCGACGAGUCGAGUUGUUUGGGAAUGCAGCUCUAAAUGGGAGGUAAAUUCCUUCUAAAGCUAAAUACCCGCCAGAGACCGAUAGCGCACAAGUAGAGUGAUCGAAAGAUGAAAAGCACUUUGGAAAGAGAGUGAAAAAGCACGUGAAAUUGUUGAAAGGGAAGCGCUUGCGGCUAGACGUGCCCGCGGUUGAUCAUCCAGGCUCCGGCCUGGUGCACUCCUCCGCGGGCAGGCCAGCAUCAGUUCGGGCGGUCGGAUAAAGGCCUCUGUCACGUACCACCCCUCGGGGUGGCCUUAUAGGGGAGGCGCAACACGGCCAGCCCGGACUGAGGUUCCGCGCAUCUGCUAGGAUGCUGGCGUAAUAGCAGCAAGCGGCCCGUCUUGAAACACGGACCAAGGAGUCUAACAUCUAUGCGAGUGUUUGGGUGUCAAGCCCGAGCGCGCAAUGAAAGUGAACGGAGGUGGGAACCCUCACGGGUGCACCAUCGACCGAUCCUGAUGUCUUCGGAUGGAUUUGAGUAAGAGCAUAGCUGUUGGGACCCGAAAGAUGGUGAACUAUGCCUGAAUAGGGUGAAGCCAGAGGAAACUCUGGUGGAGGCUCGCAGCGGUUCUGACGUGCAAAUCGAUCGUCAAAUUUGGGCA